CUCAUGUGUUAUCCAUGAAAGUCAGUGGAAGGUUAUCAAGACUUACAGGAAUAAUUUACCACAGCUAAACAUCUGCUUUGUCUUCAGAGAUAUGUGUUAAUACCUGCAGUCUGGGAAUAGUAUUUGUUCUUCUAUGACACCUUUGAACUGACAAGUCCAAACUCCUCUUAAACUUUAAACUGCAGAAAAAAUUUUGCAAAGCAGAGAAGGCUAACAAUAAUAUAAAAUUAAGUCAGCGAAGGUGCGUGAUUUGACUUCAGCCAGACAAGCAUAAAUUCAG
Myiozetetes cayanensis is the source of this 280-nucleotide long non-coding RNA. RefSeq lists it as uncharacterized. The record is from RefSeq and is a predicted model, not a curated record. The transcript has 3 exons. Lineage: Eukaryota; Metazoa; Chordata; Aves; Passeriformes; Tyrannidae.